This 305-nucleotide ribosomal RNA is filed under the name uncultured bacterium. RNAcentral's name for it is "partial 16S ribosomal RNA". It matches the Rfam family "Bacterial small subunit ribosomal RNA", at positions 505 to 807 of the family's 1533-position model. The record is from RNAcentral.
ACAGCAGUCGCCACGGGAAUACAGAGGGUGCAAGCGUUAAUCGGAAUUACUGGGCGUAAAGCGCGCGUAGGUGGUUUGUUAAGUUGGAUGUGAAAUCCCCGGGCUCAACCUGGGAACUGCAUUCAAAACUGACUGACUAGAGUAUGGUAGAGGGUGGUGGAAUUUCCUGUGUAGCGGUGAAAUGCGUAGAUAUAGGAAGGAACACCAGUGGCGAAGGCGACCACCUGGACUAAUACUGACACUGAGGUGCGAAAGCGUGGGGAGCAAACAGGAUUAGAUACCCCUGUAGUCCCUGUCUCUUAUAC